GUAGGUGGCAAGCGUUGUCCGGAAUUAUUGGGCGUAAAGCGCGCGCAGGCGGUUCUUUAAGUCUGAUGUGAAAGCCCACGGGCUCAACCGUGGAGGGUCAUUGGAAACUGGAGAACUUGAGUACAGAAGAGGAAAGCGGAAUUCCACGUGUAGCGGUGAAAUGCGUAGAGAUGUGGAGGAACACCAGUGGCGAAGGCGGCUUUCUGGUCUGUAACUGACGCUGAGGCGCGAAAGCGUGGGGAGCAAACAGGACUAGAUACCCUGGUAGUCCACGCCGUAAACGAUGAGUGCUAAGUGUUAGGGGGUUUCCGCCCCUUAGUGCUGCAGCUAACGCAUUAAGCACUCCGCCUGGGGAGUACGGCCGCAAGGCUG
RNAcentral lists this ribosomal RNA (372 nucleotides) under uncultured organism. RNAcentral's name for it is "partial 16S ribosomal RNA". It matches the Rfam family "Bacterial small subunit ribosomal RNA", at positions 527 to 896 of the family's 1533-position model. The record is from RNAcentral.